AUCGCUUCUCAGCCUUUUGGCUAAGAUCAAGUGUCAUACCUGUUCUUAUCAGUUAAAACAUUUGCCUGCUCAUUUUGACAGUCUCUGCUUAAUCAUUUUUGCGAUUCCAUCUUUU
This 115-nucleotide small nuclear RNA is filed under the name Suricata suricatta (meerkat). RNAcentral's name for it is "U2 spliceosomal RNA (ENSSSUG00005004487.1)". It matches the Rfam family "U2 spliceosomal RNA". Rfam says of the family: U2 is a small nuclear RNA (snRNA) component of the spliceosome (involved in pre-mRNA splicing). Complementary binding between U2 snRNA (in an area lying towards the 5' end but 3' to hairpin I) and the branchpoint sequence (BPS) of the intron results the bulging out of an unpaired adenosine, on the BPS, which initiates a nucleophilic attack at the intronic 5' splice site, thus starting the first of two transesterification reactions that mediate splicing. The record is from Rfam by way of RNAcentral. Lineage: Eukaryota; Metazoa; Chordata; Mammalia; Carnivora; Herpestidae.